UCAUACUCUGAGACUUGACCUCGCCGAU
This 28-nucleotide small RNA is filed under the name Bombyx mori (domestic silkworm). Its description in RNAcentral is "ovarian small RNA-25905". Lineage: Eukaryota; Metazoa; Arthropoda; Insecta; Lepidoptera; Bombycidae. The record is from RNAcentral.